Triticum aestivum (bread wheat) is the source of this 7263-nucleotide long non-coding RNA. RefSeq lists it as uncharacterized. Lineage: Eukaryota; Viridiplantae; Streptophyta; Magnoliopsida; Poales; Poaceae. The record is from RefSeq and is a predicted model, not a curated record. The transcript has 3 exons.
AUAAAAAAUGCCUGAGCUUUGCCUCUUCCUUCCUACGUCCACAUCGUCGUGGUUCUGGAGCGAUCUCUGGCGUCGUUCAGCCGCCUCAACGUGUUCUCCUCCUAUGCCAUUGACGACUCAAAAUUCCACUCCACAAUUGAAAUCUUGAUGAAAUUUCUCCUAAUACCCUCCCCCGAUCUGUCUCCUCUCCAGUCUCCAUGAAAUUUCUCCCAUUAUCCUCCCAGAUCUGUUUCGUUUUCAAUCUUUAAAUCCCCUCGGUUUCAACUAACGCCAUGUUUUUUCAGAACAGUGAAUCAAUUGUCAGUGGCAAGAUGUUAGAUGCACCAUGAAAUUUCUCCCAUUAUCCACCCAGAACUGUUUCCUUUCCAAUCUUUAAAUCCCCUCGGUUUCAACUAACACCAUGUUUUUUCAGAAGACUGAAUCAAUUGUCAGCGGCAAGAUGUUAGAUGCACCAGAACAGAUUGUGUACGGGCCGAUGGUUGAAGAAGAUUAAGGGACCGUCAUCGUCGGAGAGGUUGCGGGGUGGACGCACUACCUCAUGUAUCCACUAUGAAGGUAAGUAAUGCUUAUCCUAAAUUCCCCUGCUCUAAAAUAAAACAAUUUUUAGGUCUAUGGGCAAUAAUACUCUUCACUGGAUUAUGAGCCGAAGGAAUGGAACUAGGAAAGUGGGUGUGAUCUGCAUCUCCUCAGUUGGCGCACCACAAAAUUCUUUCAGUUGGGAUGUAUUCCUUGAUUCCUUACAUGGCCACUUUCGGUUUUACCUGAGCUAAUUAAUAUUUUUUUGACAAAGAAAUUAGUUAAUGUUUCUCAUGCAGAGGAUUUGGCUGUUGUGCGCUAUUCCUUAAUCAGAAUUCAGAACUGUUCCCAUCCAGAAAUUAAGGCUGCAUGGUGUACAUGAGCUAUACAAAUCUUCAUUACAUUGUUUCCGUUUUGUACAUCAACAAGGCUACAGAUUAGUGAUGAAAGUAUCUGGAGCCCUAGAAGCACAAGUUAAAAAUGGAAAGGCCAGUCGCUAAACAAGAACGCUGGGUUUACAGGAGAUAAAACUCUACGUCUCUCCAAGGGACCGAUUGCACAAUUGGAGGUUUUACCCAAUUAGAGAAGCAAUCUGGGGUGGAUCAAGGGCUUGAUUCGAUAUCAUUCUAAUGAGUUUAUUCCAUAUAUGUUCCACGAAGACGGCAUGGAACUCAUAAGAUUUGAAAUCCUAGGCAUCAGAUUUGGGUAUUGAAGGCAGCUAAGGGGCGAGAUAUCCCUUGCGAAAGGGCAUAGGUAGAAGAGGCGCACUUCUGAUUCGAGAGCUUGGACCAACAUUGUACAUCGAUCAUCAUGGGGCCUGCUGGAAUUGGAUAUUUGUAUGUGCAGUUCAUUUUCUGUUUCCAAUAAUUCUUGAAUUACAUUCUGCUCAUUACAUACACUUCUACCUACAACUGACCUGUUAUAGUACAGUGGGAAAUUUUAGAUGCAGACCAAGGAAACAAGUUGCUGAUGGAAUAUCAUGCAUCGUUGCUGAGGAGAUUAGUCAUUUUCGCAUUACCUGCUUUUCUGUGAUAUUUCAGGUUUCAGGUUUGUCCUCAAGGCUAUCCUGUCAUAAUGUUUUGUUAGAUAUAAAUAAUAUGAAUAUGAAUCCACAUGGGCAAUUGCUAUGCUUGCUCUGAAAACUCAGAUGUCUUUUGCAUAUUUAUAAGCUCUGAAGAAACUAGGAAUAUCAUGGUUGAUUAGGGCAUCUAACUUAUGGGUUGAGAUCUAAUUAGAGAUUUCCUACAAAUUCCACGUUAAUCCGCACUUCAUAACAUUCUUAAUUCUGCGGAAAAAGAGAAGUCAUCCCUGCGUACGCUUUGGUAAGCCAAGGAUGUAUAGGCCUGCGCUCCUGUUUUUACGCUAAAAAGAGCUCUCCUCGCUGAGUACGUUACAUUUUUUUGAGUUGGAGAGCACACUUCAUUAAGAAUGGACCAGCGCAUGUUCUACGGUUUUAUAGGUCCUCUCCAUGGCUGUGCUAUACCUCCUACCUGUCUGUUGGUCCAGACCGUGCGCGUCGAGUACUUUCCGACGACACGCAAAUGACCGACGACGAACGACGACGAAGUACUUGCCGACAGUCUUGGUUUCUGCCCCAAGCCGGCUCGAUCCAUCCGGAUGGAUCGAAACUAGCACAGCUAGCUACGUAGCCCAGUGAGUUGCACUCGUACACGAACUCCUACGCCGAACACGCACGUACACAGCAACCGGCUGAUUGAUCCGGCCGGCCUGCACUACACACACGUACGCACACGAGGAGGCUGGCCAAGUAUUGCCAAAGGCUCGUAUCGAGCCUUGUGUUUUAUUUUAACUCACGGUACAAAGAUUACAAGGGGUGGUGACAUAUAUAUACUAGUAUAGCUAGCCUAUAUGUAAACCUAUCAGGUGACUGAGUCCUAGUCCGAGCCGGCUAGGAGACGGAGACGUGUUUAACUCCAACAAUCACCCCCCUAAACACGAUGUCGUCACGUCACAGCUCCGACGCCGAUCCUUCUUCGCAUCUUCAAGAACUUCUCUCGGUCCAAAGUCUUGGUUAGCAUAUCCGCCAGUUGAUCAUCAGUGCGAACGUAGUUGACCUUCAUCCUACCUUCUUCCACGCAAUCCUUUGUGUAAUGAUACAUCGUAUCAAUAUGCUUGCUCCUUUCACGCCGCACUGGAUCCUCGGGUAGAAAGGUCUCACUAUCAACAUUGAGCACAAUUUGUUCCGGAUCUCGAUCUAUGAGAUCACUAUGUAGCCUCGCUAGUGACACACCGUGACAUGCCGCAGUUGCUUUACUCUUCUUGCUCAGCUCAAGACGAGGUUCCAUUGGAGCGUCAAUUCGAUUGCAAUAUUUCAUUACACGACUUUCAAGUACCUUCCUUGCGUAUGCCUCCCGGCAUAGUGUGAUCCCUUCCGUCUUUUGAUGUACCUCUAUCCCGGGGUAGUAGCUCAAAAGACCAAGAUCAUCCAUCUUGAAAAGCCCUUCCAUCUGUAGCUUGAACUUUGCAAUCAACUCUUCAUCUGCUCCGGUAAUUAAUAGGUCGUCGACGUAGAUGCCAACUAGUAGACGACCCCUUCCUUCACCUCUCUUGUACAUUGCAUGCUCUAGUGGGGCUUUCUCAAAUUCAAGCGAAAUCAUCGUCUGAUCAAGUUUGAUGUUCCACACCUGAGAGCCUUGCCGUAGCCCGUACAAGACUUUGUGUAACUUCAGUACCUUGUGUUCAUCUCCCUCUUUGAUGAAUCCUGGUGACUGGUUCACAUACACAUCUCCUUCUAACUCGCCAUUCAAAAAUGCGGAUUUUACAUCCAAGUGAUGUAUCUUCCAUGAUUGCUGAACCGCGAGAGCGAUGAGUAGUCUCACCGAUUCCAUCCUUUCAAUGGGAACGAACACUUCUUCGAAGUCCACACCUUCCUCUUGCACGUACUCUUUGACUACUAGCCUUGCUUUGUGCUUUACGGACCCUUCAACAUCUCUCUUGACCUUAAAUUCCCACUUGAGCUUUAUGGCUUCAUGGUUGUUGGGAAGAUCCACGAGCUCCGAUGCAUUGUUGUCAUAGAUCGACCUCAACUCUCCUUUUAUAGCACGACGCCAACACUCUUCCAUAACCGCGUCUUCAAAUUUUCCCGGUUCCUUGAUGUGCAAACAUCGUUGCCCUUUACUCGUCAUCUUCACCGAAUUAAUUUGAGGCGCUUCCUCUGAAGGAUGUCCAACACAUGUCGUUCUCGUGCUACUGUAGAAGACACACUUGCUUCUGGAACUGCCAAAUUCCCUGUUGCUGGCGAUUUGAGCCCUUGCAAACUGUUCUCUGGAGAGCCUCUAGAACCACACGCAGGAGCACCAAAGAGAUCAGCCAACGAUUCCAAUGAAAGCUUUUCAAGCACCAAAACUGCUGGGCCUCCACGUGAUGAUGAGUUUUGUAGUGGAAAGUGUGCUGGAGCUGGCCUGCCGCAUGUGCCGCCAUCAACCGGUCCGUCUACUAGGCCGCGGGCACUAGCGAGCGAAGCUGGACCAGCCCCGUACGCGACGACGUGCCUCGACUCAUGCCUGCUCGUGCGGACUGCCUGGCUUGCCACUCGUUGCGAUGCACCCAACGCUGCUACCGUCUGGACUCGCCAUGCUAUCCUCUGACGCGGCGUUCACAGGCCUCGCCAUGGCACCGUCCAACAUAGCGUCCCGUUCAUCUUGUCCUAGUACAGCUGGCCGCAUGUCGCGUUCUGCUGGCAUGGCCCCUCCAUCACAUCUUGUGUUGUGUACUUCUGGCGCCACGUCUAUGCCUCGACUUACUGGGGUGAUCACAUCAUCACACCUUGUGUCAUGGUCUUCUGGUGCCACAACUUCGCCUGAGGUUACUGGCGCGGAUGCACUCACCGGACCCGUGUCCAGCUGACCAAGAUCAUCUGAAUCCUCCUCGUCCACUAGCUCGCACAUCGGCAUCAUAUCCCCAUCAUCUCCUUCCUCGGCCACGAGCGCCCGUUGUUUCGGUGCUUCCUCGCAGUCAGCCUUGAAGUGACCGAGGAGGCCACAUUUAUGACACCUCACUUUUCUGAUGUCAAAUUUCCUCCUCGGUGGUGCAGGCGCAUCCUCGUCGUCCGAGUCAGCGAAGUUAUUUCUCGCCGAGCGCUGCUUCCCUUUCUUCUUGCUGCUGCUGGUGGACCCGACUCGCUUUUCUAGGGCGUCUCACUGCGCCUUUGUGAGCAUCACAAGCUCGUCGUUCUUUCCAUCCCCAAGACUGUACCGCAUCCUCUCAUCGUGAGCCUUGUAUCGUCCGACAAGAUCGUCGAUGGAGAGAGUCGCGAGAUCGACGCACUGCUCGAUCGCCGUGACAAUUUGCAGGUACCAGGGAGGGGCCGCACGCAAGAACCGCCGGACAACCGAGGCCUCCGUUAGGUUUUCUCCAAGCGCACGAAUCCGAUUGACGAGAGUAACUACCCGCGAAGCGAACGCAUCCAUGGACUCAUCAUCGCCCAUGAUCAAAGUCUCAUAGUUCCGUAGGAGAGUUUGGAGAUUGGCUUGCUUGACGCGGGUGUGUCCCUCGAACAUGAGUUUCAGCGUAUCCCACACCUCCUUCGCCGUUGCUUUGGUGAUCAGGUGUUGAAGGACAUCCAUCGGCAUCACCGAAUAAAUCGCCGAAGCCGCCUGUCGAUCCUUCCGGUGCUCGGCUCCCUCCUUCUUGUACGCGUCGCCUCCUGGAUCGACUGUGCCCCAUAGCUCGUUGGCGCGGAGACCACACUCCAUGAGGGCCUUCCAGACUCCAAAGUUCUCACGAUCAAACCGUGGGUACUGUGAACUCGCCGGAGCAGCAAUUACUUUAGCCGCACCGGAGUACUCCGCCAGCUGCUUGGUCUUCUCAUCGUCCGACAUGAUCUUCCGUUACUAGAAGAUCAACCUUGCUCUAGAUACCAAUUGUUGGCCCAGACCGUGCACGUCGAGUACUUUCCGACGACACGCAAACGACCGACGACGAACGACGACGAAGAACUUGCCGACAGUCUUAGUUUUGCCCCAAGCUGGCUCGAUCCGUCCGGAUCGAUCGAAACUAGCACAGCUAGCUACGUAGCCCGGUGAGUUGCACUCGUACACGAACUCCUACGCCGAACACCCACGUAAACAGCAACCGGCUGAUUGAUCCGGCCGGCCUGCACUACACACACGUACGCACACGAGGAGGCUGGCCAAGUAUUGCCAAAGGCUCGUAUCGAGCCUUGCGUUUUAUUUUAACUCACGGUACAAAGAUUAGAAGGGGUGGUUAGAUAUAUAUACUAGUAUAGCUAGCCUAUACGUAAACCUAUCAGGUGACUGAGUCCUAGUCCGACUGUCCGAGCCGGCUAGGAGACGGAGACGUGUUCUACCUGUCCAUGGGAGGACCAGCGCAUGUUCUACGGUUUUAUAGGUCCUCUCCAUGGCUGUGCUAUACCUGCUACCUGUCCGCCUCACGAUCUUACUAACAUCCAUGAAACUGUCAUUCAGUAUCUUCUUCCAUUGUUCCUUAAAGCUGUUUGUUAGGCUCUUCACCUCGGCCAGCUCGCCAUAGCUGCACAGCUCUCCUGAGAAGCCACCGGUUGUCUAUGCUCAUCCUAUUCCUAUUCAUAGGCAAAACCUGACGCAGACCCAAUCGCAAAGGAUGAUGGGAUCAUGGGAGGAAGAGGCAAGGUACUGUCUUGAAGAUGUCUCAAGUCUCAAUGUCUCAUACAUAUUGAUAAAGGCAAUAAAACUGUGUUGCAUGGGGAAGAUCAGCAUGGCUGCAAUAACAAUACACUCAGAAUCACUGAAAAAAAUAGCGCACUAGCGUCGCUAAUAGCACGCUAUAGCAUAUUAAGAAUUGCCUCGCUAAAUAUAUCAGCGUAUAACGUCUCGCUAAUAGCACGAUAUAGCACGAUAUAGCACGUUAGUAGCAUAUUUUGAAGUCGGUGCUAUUUUGUUGUAGCACGCCACAACAACUUGACUUGCUAUCAACGACAUGACGAGUCGCUUGCUUGACUUGCACCAUGCCGGAGACUCGGAGUAGGCCACCUGCUCGGUGUGCAUGAUGUUCCAGUAGGCGCACCUGCUCCAGCCGAGCCGUGUGUAUUCUACGGGGCAGCGUUGCAGUGGAUAUGGGACGCACACAUGAUUUCCCGAUUGGAGACGGUGCACAUGGGUGGCUGCCGUUGGCAUGGAUGCGUAUUGUUCUUCUAACCCUUGGGAAAAAGAGUUUGUCUCAUGUAUGUUACUCCUUCUAGAGCAACAGAAUAAACAUUUGCAACAUGGCUGAGAUAAUAUUUAUAGAAAUAUAGCUAUGUUUUUUUCUUCUGAUUUUUGUGUUGAUUUACAGGUGAAAAGGAAGCUAAUGACAUAUCCUUCCGAGCAAUGUUAAAGUUAGCGAAUUUAUGAUAUAUAUAACACAUUGCAUAUUAUACACUCCAAGUAAUCGUAUAGUGAUUAUGUCACCGUGGCUCUUGUGUUGCGUGCAGAUUUUUUAUAGAAGAUGCUAUAUGUUAAUCCAUUUCUUUGCAAGUUUUUCUCUCGCACAUCUAGCUUCCUACCGACAGAUACAUGUUGUAGAAGCAAAGUCCAAUUUAUGGGAUGUCCAAGAUUGCGGGCGGGAUUGAUGCCCUUUUACCAUGGAAAAAGUAGCAACAACAACAGUGUUUUGUGCCCGCGAUGGCAUAAUCCAAGUCUGUUGAUGUGUUUGACACUUAUGGCUGUACUCGACGCUCCUCAAUUUAUGACAUCCCUCGCUAUGCAACAGAUUAUGUAGUGCAGAAUUUUUUCCUUUACAUACAUCAAG